Molecule: ribosomal RNA, 449 nt
Filed under: uncultured bacterium
Lineage: Bacteria
Description: bacterial SSU rRNA
Rfam family: Bacterial small subunit ribosomal RNA
Source: RNAcentral
ACGAACGCUGGCGGCGUGCUUAACACAUGCAAGUCGAACGAGGGCGCAAGCCCGAGUGGCGGACGGGUGAGUAACACGUGGGUAACCUGCCUCUUAGUGGGGGAUACCCGCCCGAAAGGGCGGCUAAUACCGCAUAAGCUCCCUGGUUGAAACACCCGGGAGGAAAGAUUUAUCGCUAGGAGAGGGGCUCGCGUCCGAUUAGCUAGUUGGUGAGGUAACGGCUCACCAAGGCGACGAUCGGUAGCUGGUCUGAGAGGACGAUCAGCCACACUGGAACUGAGACACGGUCCAGACUCCUACGGGAGGCAGCAGUGGGGAAUUUUCCGCAAUGGGCGAAAGCCUGACGGAGCAACGCCGCGUGGAUGAUGACGCCUUUCGGGGUGUAAAAUCCUUUCAGCAGGGACGAAGCGAGUGACGGUACCUGCAGAAGAAGCAUCGGCUAACUACGU